This is a non-coding RNA of Oryctolagus cuniculus (rabbit), 6885 nucleotides long. The record is from RefSeq and is a predicted model, not a curated record. Lineage: Eukaryota; Metazoa; Chordata; Mammalia; Lagomorpha; Leporidae.
AUUUGGCAAGCUGCCUGAAUGACUUUUUGAUGCACCUGCUGAGAUGCUGAGAUGGGUAUUCCGUGUGCUGAGGACGGUAUGUUUACGAGGAGAAAUAAGAAGCAGAGGUAGCCGCUAGGAAGGUCCCGAAGAGUCCAGUCUGAAGGGAUGAAUGAGGAGGUGGAAAAACAAAACAAAACAGACCUCAAGUGAGCAGUGUAUACUCUCGCAAGUGCAGCUCCCUCCUCCUGUUCCGAGCCGUCAUGGCUUCUGAGGCAUUGAAGUAGAUGGUUAUGGGCUCUCAUUUAUUUUAAAUUUUAGGUUGACAUUUUGGAAAAACAAAGAAACAGAUAAAAACCAAACAACCUCCCACCGUAAAUAGUCAUGUAGUGAAUGAUAACCAGAGAGUAAAACAGCACACGUAGAUAGGCCUUCAGCUACAUACCUACUCUUCUAGGAUUGUUUUAUAGCCAAAAUAAUAAACAAGUAACUGUUUUCAGCCUGACAGCUAAUUUCCUUACAUUGGAACACCAAAGUCCCCUAAAACAAACAAACAACAAAAAAGAAAUGACCACACUACCAUUUAAGUCUUUAUAUUUUAUACUGGGCAGUGUGUCACUGAUAGUUUAUUCUUAAGUAGCACUUUAUUUUCUAACAUUGUGCUUCUGUGAUGUAUUUGCUCAUGAGCAGGGAGAGCUCUGACAAUAUUAAAAAUUUUAUGUGCUACAGAAAGAAUUCAUUUGAACAUGUAUUCAACCUCAAAAUUAUGAAUUUAGUAGAAUCCAUAGAAGAAAGAUCCAAUUCUGAUGAGAUGGGUCCGUAUUAUAACUUGCUAAGACAGAUUAAUUAUGAGAGAAGUACCAUAAUUUUUCUUUUAAGAUUUAGCCAGUGGUCUCUAGAAAUUAUCUUGGGUUUGAUCAUUUGAAAUAUUUGUUUAAUAUGAAAUGUGCAAGAAUAGAAGAGUGAGCGAAAUUGUGAGGCAAGCACAGUUUCUUGGCACUUCUUUUUUUAAAUGUUUAUUUUGAUUUUUAGUUAGCUUUUAACAGAUUCAAUCUGAUUUGCAGAUAAAAUUCUAAGAACAUGCUGGUAUUCCCUUCCUCCCUUCCUUCCUCUUUCCCUCCCUCCCAUCCUCCUUCUUUUUCCUUUUUGUCUUUUUUGUUUGUUUUUGAGAUAACAUAUUUUAAGUUUACAUUACAGUAAAAAGACUUAAUACUUCACCAAAUAAGAAGCUUAACAAGUUAAAAGUAAAAAAGAAAAAAACCCUAGUUUAGUGGGAAUACAGACAACUGCUAUAAACAAUAAUUGAAUGGAAAAAUUACCACUUCAUUUAUUUACAGUAAAGUUUAAAUUACAGAUCAUUGAAAGAAAAAAGAAAUGUCUAUGUGUAUCAGUAUUGCUGCAAAUAAAGAGGUUUUUUUAAAGAUUUAUUUAUUUACUUGAAAGAAUUACACAGAUAGAGAAGGAGAGGCAGAGAGACAGGUCUUCCAUCCACUGGCUCACUCCCCAUUUUGCUGCAACAGCCGGAGCUGCGACGAUUAAAGACAGAAGCCUGGAGCUUUUUCUGGGUCUCCCACACGGGUGGAGGGGCCCAAGCACCUGGGCCAUCUUCUGCUGCUUUCCCAGGCCGUAGCAGAGCUGGAUGGGAGGUGGAGCAGCAGAGACUGGAACCAGUACCCAUAUGGGAUGCCGACACUGCAGGCAGCGGCUUCACCUGCUAUGCCACAGCGCCGGUGCCACAAAUAUAUUUUUGUAAAACUUUAUUUAUACAUUUGUUGAAUCAAUGGUUAAGAACCUUGGCACUUCUUAAUUCCUUUGAUAAUACCAUAGAUCAUUAAACCAACACUUAUUUUCUCUAUACCUACUGGCCACAGCACUGGUUCCUGCUUAUUUUAUUUAAACUUCACAGCUUGCCUGUAAUGUACAUACCAUUGUUAUUUCCAUCUUUCUGAGAUGCGAAGUGUGGUGUUCAUGGCCACACAGCUUAUAAAUGCUGGUGUUGAGAUUAUGACUCCAGGGAUCUGAAUCUAACUCUAGAACCUAUAUUCCUUACCCCAUUGUUUUUCUCUUUAAGCCUUCUAUAUGGAGUACCACAUUUGUUUUUUCCAUGGGACUGCAUAAAGAAUACUAUUUGUGGUUCCCUUGCCCGCGAAGGAACGACACUGCUCCCAGCUGAUCGGUCUUCAGUAGACUUUAUUUUAACAGGAUAGAAAGAGAAACCCUUGAGCAAGGGGAGCUCCGAAAGAAAGGGGAAGCUCCCGUUCCAUAUCACAAACGGCUUAUAUAGUAUAUCAUUACAGAAGCAUGUAAUGCAAGCUUAGUCCAUGCUACAGUCCAUGUGGCGGUGCUCCAGUCGGGUGUCUGAUCACGCACAGUCCAUGCGCUCCUUGUCCAACCAUAAAGGUGAUCACGUGCCUUCAUCCAAUCAAGCUCCUGGUCACGUAGCAGGCGACUCGGGUGCUAACAACAAGCUUCCACCUGGUGUUUUCUCAACCUUGCUCAGUGGGAAAAGAAGCACGGGAUGCCCCAAGGCCAUAGUUGUUUUGACUCUAGCCUGGGGUUAUGAAACGGUCCCGAUAUCGCAGCUCAACAGAAACCAUAAACAUCCACACAGCAGUAACUAUUGCCAAUGGUCAGCUGUCGCUCCCCCUCUUCGUGGAGGAGCGACACUAAACCCUGCCUAGGCUUCAUAUCCGAGUCACGGCACCAUUAUGUCGCUCCCCCUCUUCGUGGAGGAACGACACUAAACCCUGCCUAGGCUUCAUAUCUGAGUCACGGCACCAUUAUGUCGCUCCCCCUCUUCGUGGAGGAACGACACAGGACCCUGCGCUGUUCUUUCGUCUGCUCGGCCCUCCCCGGGUUUGCUGCUGGUUCUUCCCGGUUUGGCUACUAUCCCUUCCACCUCCGUGGAAGGGCAGUUCCCCCUGGCCGCAUUCCCCACUUCCGCAGGGGAGCGGCACACCGCCGGCCGGCUUUCUCGGGGGCUGCACGGGUUCCCUUAGAUGUUCCCCAUAGAUGUUCCUGGUGCAUGUUGUCUCUCUCCUCCUUUAUAGUCCUCCUCCGCCAAUCCUAACUCGGCUGCCCACACGCCGAGUACGCUGCUCUCCUCCAAUCAAUAGCAAGUCCUACAGUUUAUUAGUUGAACUGGAGGCAGCUGUGCGGAAGCUGUUUACUUCUCUCCCAGCGCCAUACUGUGGGAGAGCAGAUGCAUAGAAUAAGUCUUAAUUCCAGUAACUCAGUCUAGUCCGGUUGCUCCCCACAGUCAGCAAGCUAAGCCUUAGCAUGUGGGCCCGUGGCCAGCCAUGGGUCCCCACACUAUUGAGGUUGUGAGGUUUAGGGCUGGUUCUCAGCUCUACUUCUGGCUGUGUGCACUGCCCUGCAGUAUUCUUGGCUUUCAUUUUCUCUCUGUAAAAUUAUGGUCUUAAGCUCUAUAGACAUUGUGGCAUUAUAUGAAUAUAUGAGAAGUCACAUUUGACCUAGAAGUGCUUUCUGAAGAGUGUAGGAGUUGUGAAAUAUAAAGUCAAAUUGUAAAUGAAGCUUAAACUGGAUAAAGGUGGAGCCUGUGUUGUGGUGCGACAGGUAAAUGGCAGAUAGCCAUUGCCUGCAAUGGCAGCAUCCUACAUGAGAGCCAGUUCAAAGCCCAGCUGCUCCAAUUUCAGGCUCCUGGUUGUGGCCAUUUGGGAAGUUAACCAGUAGGUGGAAGAUUGUCUCGGUUUCUCUUCUCUCUCUCUCUACCUUUCAAGUAAAUAAGUACAUAUAUCUUUUUUUUUUUUUUUUGACAGGCGGAGUUAGACAGUGAGAGAGAGACAGAGAGAAAGGUCUUCCUUCCAUUGGUUCACCCCCAAAUGGCCACUACAGCUGGUGCACUGCGCUGAUCCGAAGCCAGGAGCUAGGUGCUUCCUCCUGGUCUCCCUUGCGGGUGCAGGGCCCAAGGACCUGGGCCAUCCUCCACUGCCUUCCCGGGCCACAGCAGAGAGCUGGACUGGAAGAGGAGCAACUGGGACAGAAUCCGGCACCUUGACCGGAACUAGAACCUGGGGUGCUGGCGCCGCAGGCGGAGGGUUAGCCUAGUGAGCCGCGGCACCGGCCAAGUACAUAUAUCUUUAAAACACAAAUAACCAACCACAAAAACCAAUCCCCUCCAAAAAAAAACAAAAACAAAAAAACCAACAAAAACACCUGGGUAGAGACUUCCUGGGAGCAUUUGUGGAAAAAGAGACCCCUGAGCACAACUGAGAUCUUAGAAUUUACUAAAUGGCUGUUUACUUUUAAGAGUGAAGCCAGGGAAUUGAGGAGUAGAGAGAAGACCAAUCAGGUAAUUAACAAUGAUAAAUUGUCUUACAGAGAAUAACCUGAGAGAGAAAGGCUUUGUUUGAUUUAAGUACAAAUACCAAGAGAGAAAGGCAAAAAUCAACUGGUUUCCCUAAUCUGUGGGCAUUAGAAUAACACAGUAGCUGUUGAGACCAAAUUUGCCUGGUUUGUAGCCCUACGUACUGAAAAAUGACCCCCUUUCGCAAAGUAUUUCUGGGAAUACUGCAGAAUAUUUUUUUUGAAGUUUCAUGUUUUAUUUGUUGAAAAGAAAGAGGUCAUGUCAGCUAAUCAACUUCAACAUACAAAAAUGCAAUUCCCAAGCCUCUGAAUGCUGGUAUAAAGGAGAAAUUACAAAACCAACUUGUUAAGAAGUACUGAGGAAGGUUUCCUGAAUGUCUAGUCUAGCUGAGAUCUGCUGAGUACUGAUUGACCACCCAAGUGGCCACAUCACGCUUAUUGGGCCAAAGAAAAUGGGGCCCACUGGAUGCCUGAUUUUAGAAUAUCUGACUGGAAGACCCAGACACUUUAAUUGUGUUCACUUAAGCAUUUUUUUUGUACAGCAAAAAUGGGAAAUGACUUUCUAGGGAAAAUUGUGACUUUUCAUUACCCCCUUCAGUAUCUUUUUCUCAUUUAACUGGAAGGAAAAGCAUGAGGUUUUGGAUUAAAAACAAAACAAAAAAAAAACUGGGAUUCAGACCAGCUGUUACCAGUUUUGUGAGUUUGAUAAGGAAUUUUAUAGCUUUGAUGUUUAGUUGAUUUCAAAAUUGGAAGAACUAUAUCCAUCUCAUAAUAUUGCUGUGCAAAUUAAAUGAAACCAGUUAUUUUUGUUCUUAGACUUUGCUUUGUUCUAGAAAGAAUUUAAAGCAGUUUUAUAAAUAAGGAUAUUUUUGGGGCCAGCGCUGUGCCAUAACAGGUAAAGCUGCCACCUGCAGUGCCAGCAUCCCAUAUGGGCACCAGUUCAAAUCCUGGCUGCUCUUUUUCCAAUCAAGCUCUAUGCUAUGGCCCGGGAAAGCAGUGUAAGAUGGCCCAAAUGCUUGGGUCCCUGCACCCAUGUGGAAGACCUGGAGGAAGCUCCUGGCUUCUGGCUUCAGAUCAGCACAGCUCCAGCCAUUGUGGCCAACUGGGGAAUGAACUGGCAGACAGAAGACUGACUCUCUCUCUCUCUCUUUCUCUGCCUCUCCUUCUCUCUCUAUGUAACUCUGACUUUCAAAUACACAAAUAAAUCUUUGAAUAAAAAAUAAAUAAGACUCAAAUAUUCACACACAACCAUACAUAUACACAAUCAUAUGAUAUAUAUCAUAUGCACCAAUGUGGUAUAAUUUAAAACAUUUGUAGAAGAUGAAAAUGAAACAAAGGUGGGAACAUAGAGUAAAAUCACAAGUAAGAAUGAAAAUAUGAGUGGGAUACAAAAUUGAUUGUGAUCUUUAGAGCAGAUAGCAAAAAGAAAAAAGUCUGUAAAACACUUCACAGUGUGCAUAACAAAAAAGCAACAAGAUGUCCAAGAGAACAAGCAAAUGUCCUGGGUUCCAAGCCCAGGUUCUGCAUAUGGAAGACAGGAUGUUGGGGCCAGUGUUAUGGGGCGGCAGGUUAAGCCACUGCCUGUGAUGUCAACAUCCCAUGUAUGUGCUAGUUCCAGUCCUAGCUGCUCCACCUUGGAUCCAGCUCCACGUGCCUGGGAAAGCCGUGGAAGAUGACCCUGCCACACAUGUGGAAGAUCUGAAAGAAGUUCUCGGCUCCUAGCUUUGGCCAGGUCCAGCUCUGACUAUUUGGGUCAUUUGGGGACUGACCCAGCAGAUGGAAGAUUGCUCUCUCUCUCUGUCUCUCUCCCUAUCUCUCUGUAACUCUGGCUUUCAAAUAAAUAAAUAAAUCUUUUUUGAAAAAAGUAUGUGAGGUGAUGGGCUAAGUAUUCUGCAGCAGGCAUCCUCAGUAUGUGUGUGGUGGUCAUUUAGCAUCUGCUUAUAGCAUACAGCUCAGUCUCUCCUGGUUUCGCUGCAGCUUCUCUGGGAGAUGCUGCCUUGUUCCAGGUUCUGUUUCCCAGAACUCCCAAACUCCAAAUCAUCAGAAAUCUUCAAAUAACCUUGUAUUUUCUACAGUUUUCCCUACAGAUUUGGAGCCUGGAAAUAGGCUGUGCUCAAAUGAGGAGCAUACCCCUUUCUCCAUGGGGAUCAGACCUAAUCAUCGAAGACAGGCUGGGAAUUAGACUCUCUUUCUUGGCCUUUCAGCAGGAGCCUCAGAUGCUUGAGCUCAGCAUUUCUGCAGGAUUUUUUUCCUGUUGCAAAUCAUUUCUGCAAACAGAUGUCUAAGCAGUCCCUCCACAUCAAUGGGAUGAAGUUCUGCUUUGAAACAAAUGCUGCUCGAUUUAUACCAAAAUGACCAAAAUUGUAAACAGCUAAAAUGCUUGGGGAGAAUAACUGAUUAUCCAGAUUUGGACAAGGCUUGAAGUGUGACACUGCAUCUUGAAUAAUGAGAAGAGGACACACAUAUAUUGUUUAUGGUUUCUGCAGCUCCAAAAGUGAUUUAAGAAAAAUACCCUGAGCACCCAGUUAUCAAAGAAUAUUGAAUUUAUCUAAAAUAAUAAAUGCUAAAUUGCAGAUAAAA